AAUGAACGUUGCGGCGUGGAUUAGGCAUGCAAGUCGUGCGAGACCUUGCAGACGGAAGCUUCGGCCGAAGUCUGCAAGUGAAAGCGGCGUAAGGGAGAGUAACGCGUGGAUACUAACCCCCGGGUCUCGGGAUAGCGUCGAGAAACUGGCGGUAAUACCAGAUAAUGUCUCCGGACCAAAGGUGUGAUUCCGUCUCGGGGAUGGGUCCGCGUCCUAUUAGCUUGUUGGUGGGGUAACGGCCUACCAAGGCGAAGAUGGGUAGCGGGCGUGAGAGCGUGGCCCGUCUCACUGGGACUGAGACACUGCCCAGACACCUACGGGUGGCUGCAGUCGAGAAUCUUCGGCAAUGGGCGCAAGCCUGACCGAGCGACGCCGCGUGCGGGAUGAAGGCCUUCGGGUUGUAAACCGCUGUCAGGAGGGAGGAAAUGCAUAGGGGUACUCUCCUAUGUUUGACCGAUCUCCAAAGGAAGUGCGGGCUAAGUACGUG
This 487-nucleotide ribosomal RNA is filed under the name uncultured bacterium. Its description in RNAcentral is "bacterial SSU rRNA". It matches the Rfam family "Bacterial small subunit ribosomal RNA", at positions 28 to 507 of the family's 1533-position model. The record is from RNAcentral.